UACGAAGGGGGCUAGCGUUGCUCGGAAUUACUGGGCGUAAAGCGCACGUAGGCGGUUCGUUAUGUCGGAUGUGAAAGCCCUUGGCUUAACCGAGGAAGUGCAUCCGAAACUGGCGAGCUAGAGUACGAAAGAGGAUCGCGGAAUUCCCGGUGUAGAGGUGAAAUUCGUAGAUAUCGGGAGGAACACCGGUGGCGAAGGCGGCGAUCUGGGUCGAUACUGACGCUGAGGUGCGAAAGCGUGGGGAGCAAACAGG
Molecule: ribosomal RNA, 253 nt
Filed under: uncultured bacterium
Lineage: Bacteria
Description: partial 16S ribosomal RNA
Rfam family: Bacterial small subunit ribosomal RNA
Source: RNAcentral